GGUGGAAAGUUGUGUGUUGGUGUGAGAGUGGUGGAGAGGUGUGUGUUGGUGUGAGAGGGGUGGAGAGGUAUGUGUUGGUGUGAGAGGGGUAGAAAGGUGUUGGUUGGUGUGAGAGUGGUGGAGAGGUGUGUGUUGGUGUGAGAGUGGUAGAGAGGUGUGUGUUGGUGUGAGAGUGGUGGAUAGGUGUGUGUAGGUGUGAGAGGGGUGGAGAGGUAUGUGUUGGUGUGAGAGUGGUGGAGAGGUGUGUGUUGGUGUGAGAGUGGUGGAUAGGUGUGUGUUGGUGUGAGAGGGGUGGAGAGGUGUGAGAGGGGUGGAGAGGUAUGUGUUGGUGUGAGAGUGGUGGAUAGGUAUGUGUUGGUGUGAGAGUGGUGGAGAGGUAUGUGUUGGUGUGAGAGAGGUGGAUAGGUAUGUGUUGGUGUGAGAGGGGUGGAUAGGUGUGUGUUGGUGUGAGAGUGGUGACUAGGUAUGUGUUGGUGUGAGAGAGGGGACUGUUGCCCCCUAGUGGCCAGUUUCCAAGUCAUCUCCCGACGUUCUCAGACAUGGAUGGACUUCGAAUACUGACUUGUAUCACAGGUGACCUGGCUGCCCACUUCACCCUGACAGCUCCGGAGACGAGACCCCAGGCACAAUGUAUGUUUAGCUGUAGCUCACAGCUGUAGGCCCAU
This is a long non-coding RNA of Oncorhynchus tshawytscha (Chinook salmon), 665 nucleotides long. NCBI's taxonomy places the organism in Eukaryota, Metazoa, Chordata, Actinopteri, Salmoniformes, Salmonidae. The record is from Ensembl.